GGGGGGGGGUGGGGGGGGGGGGGGGGCGUGCGGGGCGGGGGGGGCGGCGUAGGAGGCUUGUUGGGUAAGAGGCUAAGCGGCUUAGUGGCGAAGGGGUGAGUAACGCGUGAGUGACCUGCCUUACACAAGGGGCUAGCCUUUGGCCACGCAGAAUAAUACCUUAUACAACCAUAACAGCACACGCUAGCACGGUCAAAAUGAUAGCGGUGUCAGAUGGACUUGCGUAUGAUUAGAGAGUGUGUGAGAUAACAGCUCCCUAAGUCAACGCACAUGAGCCGGCUUGAGAGAGGGUACGGCAACAUUGGGACUGAGACACGGCCCAGACUCCUACGGGAGGCAGCAGUGGGGAAUUUUGCACAAUGGGGGAAACCCUGAUGCAGCGACGCCGCGUGAUUUAGAAGGCCUUCGGGUUGUAAAAAUCUUUUGUAUAGGAAGAAAAUGACAGUACUAUACGAAUAAGGUCCGGCUAAUUACGUG
Molecule: ribosomal RNA, 477 nt
Filed under: uncultured bacterium
Lineage: Bacteria
Description: partial 16S ribosomal RNA
Rfam family: Bacterial small subunit ribosomal RNA
Source: RNAcentral